AUUCCAGGUUCAGGCAGUCACACCCAGCCUUUUUGUUGUAGUAAUCGUUGUCGUUUUUGUUUGUUUUUUGAAACAGGGUUUCUCUGUGUAGCCCUAGCUGUACUGGAAUAGCUUUGUAGACCAGGUUGGCCUUGAACUCAAGGUGUACAGCCAGCUUUUUUUCUGGGUGCUGGCGUGAGCAAGUCAGGUCCUUAUGUUUGAGUGGGAUGAGCCAUUUACUUACUGGCUUUACAUUUGCAGUUUAAACCAGACUUUUGUUCACAAGGGAAGAAAAUAUGGAGAACGCCAUGAUCAGAAAAAGUCCAAGAGAGGUUGAAUUUUCACUAGUUUUUAAGGUUGUGGAAAGUUUUAGCUUGGAUUCCAGGUUCCAUAGUCUUCUUCGAGUUAACUGCUGUGUGCCGUGGGCAUCUGGGGGACUCAUAAGAAAUGAGACCAAGAAAGGGAACAAAUAAUGUUGAGUUGCUACUCAAUAAUAUUGCUAGCUGGUGAGUAUAUUAUAUAGUCUCAAUAAGUCUGUGAAGUGCUAGUUGAGCAAAUUAAAGGUCAGAAUGUAUAAGUGACUAUUCCAAGCUCAUGCCUAUAACCAGUAAAAAGUGGCUCUGGAAUUUGAUACCAGGUCUGUUUGCUCCAUAUUAACUUCCAAUUGUAUACUGCCUUGGGAAACAAGAAACUUCAUUUCUAGAUCUUUGAGUCAGCCCAGUGGGUAAUUGUUGGACCACAGAGUGAUGUCAAUAUGCUUUGGAGGUAUGAUAGUGUUUUGGUACAAAGACUGCAUAAAAAUAUGUUCUGUAUACAGUAGGUGCUUAAUAUUUUGCUCAUGUUGGAAACAUUCAUAUUAAAACAGUGGUUGCCUAAGUUGGUCAUACAGUUUCAUCUGUAUAACACAAGUUGGUAGAAAGGUGUAAUGAUCCUGCAGUAGAGGCCACCAUUAAGAUGACAUCAGGAUCUAGAAAAUGAAACAUUUUCAUGGAACAGUUUUAGGGCAGUACCAACUAAGUAAAGCAUGCUACUUGUAGGACUCAGAUAAUCCAGCCUAAAGGAUUUGUUGUAAAUUUUGGUGCACAUAAUAGACACUCAAUAAAUUUAUUUGCUGAAUGAAUGAAUGUGUAUGUUAUUGAUAUAUAAUUUAUAUGUGAUAUAAUUGACCAAUGUUAGGUUAUAGUUUGAGCUUUGACAGAUAUAGUGUAUAGUUAUGAAGUCA
This 1201-nucleotide long non-coding RNA is filed under the name Cricetulus griseus (Chinese hamster). Its description in RNAcentral is "lncRNA (ENSCGRG00015029910.1)". Lineage: Eukaryota; Metazoa; Chordata; Mammalia; Rodentia; Cricetidae. The record is from RNAcentral.